AAACGGUGUCGCCUGGCAAAGACCCCUGCCCUAAAAGCCAACUUCAUUUCACCCAGACAAGGAGCCUGUGCCUCAGUUUCCACAUCUGUAAAAGAGAAUAAUCCACCCUUCCAUGUACCAGUUUGAGACACCCAACAUUUUAGACGGUCUACAAAAGCCUACCCAUAUCAUGGAUCAGUCUGUGCUGCAUCCCCACCAAGGAGGAGCCGGAGGACAAGCUUCCCAGCGCGUUUCAGCAGAGAGGAAAUAGAUAAGAAAUUAGGAAAAGAAAAUCRAGAAAGAAAUUAAAUAGUCACCAAGGAAAGCAGAGGAAAGGGGGGRAAAUCAAGGAAUUUGGACUACGAACAUGCAGCUUGGCUGCUUGGGGUUGUUACUGGGUGAAACGCCCUGCAAGCAGGCUGGUCUUCAGCGGAGCCACCUCAGUCAGAGCCGAAGCCAGGGCUCUUCGCAGCCCUGCACCCAUGGGUGGGGGGCAGCAAUCGCCCCGAGAGCAGGGGAAGCUCCCUGGGGGMGUUUGGAAAUGGCAGCUGAGCAAGGGGCUCUCGCGGAUCCGUGCCAAGCUGCCGCCCACAGCGCCCACGGGCUGGGUUGGAGCUGUCGCCCUCCAAACCACCCGGCUUCGGCCACCACCAGCGACGUGACAUCGGAGCAAAGCACCAACCGGGCUCCGACGUUGCAAGCUCUGUGUUCCAGAUCCGCUGCAAACAGCGGAGGGCAACAUUUUGCUUCCUGGAAACACAGAGAAAGAAGUGUUUUUCCUGAGAGCUGCGGCUCACAGGCAACCUGGAAUGGAGAUUUCAGAAAACUGGGUGUUCACUCUUCCAUCUCCACUGCGAAGACAAAGGCUUGGCAGACGGUGGUGGWGCUUCGCAGGGGUUUUAGCUGUGAUUUUCUUUGGGAGCCGGGUAUACAAACCCCUUCCUCUCAUUUUCCCCUUUACCAGUUCGAGCAAAGCGAAAUCUGCCCGUCCCUAGGAUGCCCCAACUUCCCAGAGCCCACGUACUGUCUCUUCACACAGGCUGACUUAGAGACCUGGGGCUGUUCAGCCUCCAACAAAGAGCUCCUUUCUCCCAAACAUUCGCCAGUCAUCGGAGUUAAAGAGGCUGUGCUGAAACCAAAGCAAACAAAGCCCCUGCAAAGCCAGCUCCGAAUCCCCRUCCCCUCUCCAGCGCGCUCGAUUCCCUGGGACGCUGUGGAGUGCUCCGGCCGCGG
Molecule: long non-coding RNA, 1212 nt
Filed under: Dromaius novaehollandiae (emu)
Lineage: Eukaryota; Metazoa; Chordata; Aves; Casuariiformes; Dromaiidae
Description: lncRNA (ENSDNVG00000008918.1)
Source: RNAcentral